RNAcentral lists this microRNA precursor (96 nucleotides) under Pristionchus pacificus. RNAcentral describes it as "microRNA ppc-mir-79 precursor". Its record names the gene ppc-mir-79. The record is from miRBase by way of RNAcentral. Lineage: Eukaryota; Metazoa; Nematoda; Chromadorea; Rhabditida; Neodiplogasteridae.
CGGAGAAUCAACUUCUUCGCUUUGGUUAUCUUGCUUUCUGACUAAAUGUCCAAGGUUCAUAAAGCUAGGUUACCAAAGCUAAGCGGUGAUUGUUCC